Molecule: transfer RNA, 75 nt
Filed under: Gemmatimonas sp.
Lineage: Bacteria; Pseudomonadati; Gemmatimonadota; Gemmatimonadia; Gemmatimonadales; Gemmatimonadaceae
Also listed under: 1 other name
Description: tRNA-Lys
Rfam family: tRNA
About the family: Transfer RNA (tRNA) molecules are approximately 80 nucleotides in length. Their secondary structure includes four short double-helical elements and three loops (D, anti-codon, and T loops).
Source: RNAcentral
GAGCCCGUAGCUCAGGGGUAGAGCAUCUGACUUUUAAUCAGAGGGUCCUGGGUUCGAUCCCCAGCGGGCUCACCA